GUUUAUUUCCAGGGCUGCUGGCAAUGUAAGCUCACUCUCUGAGCAGAUACUGAAGCCCGUGUGUUAUAUGUAAGGGUUCUAUUCAAGGAGGAGGCUCUUAGUGCCACAGUGUGCCUGCUGGGUUCAGGUGCACGUGUUCCUUACAGCAUUACUCAUACUCGAGAAAUACUUGUUAUUCAUACUCAGAAGUUACUCAAGCACGACUCGUGGUGGAAAAUUGUGCAAAAAUAAUGUUUCUUUGUGACAACUGAUCCCAGUCUGAUGUUUCAUAGAUGAUAGCUUGGAAACCUGCCUGUACAGAGUCCCUCUCUGUCAGAGAUGUUCCACGGGGAUGAAGAAAAUAGAGCCGUGAGGAGAAGGGGUGGAUGUGCAGUGGUUGUUCACACACUGAAAGCUUUGUGUCACAGCAGCUCUGAUGCUUUUCUGAAGGGAUGAUCCUGCAAUCGUUAGGACUGUCACCAAACCCUGCCCUGGAUGAACAUGGCUAGUGUUCACACUGCUUAUAGUGUGUAUGUUGUGUCAGCCAGGCUGUUGGAUGUUCCUAUGUGUUGGACAGGAGUUCUCCUCAGGGCUGCUGGGCCCCAGCAGGGUGCUGGGCUGUGCAUCGGUCCCCAGAGAGAUUCAGGAGCUCCUGCUGUUGUUCAGCCUCUUCUGGCUUUGGCUGUUUGAGGAGCAACGUGAAGAUUGAAUCCCAGGAUCCACAGUUCAGGGUGUGUUCUUGCAAAAGUAGCCCAAGGAAUCUGGAAGAUGAUGGACCCAGUGCAUGUUGCAUGCUCCCAUUGAGCUUAUGGACAGCCAGAAAAGCUGUAGAUGAAGUGGAAGUGCACUGCCAAGAGCUGUCGCAUUGGAGAGUGUGUUUGUGGCAUUCAUGUGGUCAGAAAGUCAUACCAAGUGUCUCCUCCCCAGACUCACAAAUUCCUCUUCUCAGAAAGGGUCAUGUUUUCUGUUUUCCAGGCAUUUAAACAUAUAGAAGGCAUUUUCUUGUUUCUUUGCUUUACACAGUUCUGCAAGCAGAGUUCAUAUAUUAUACAUGUAUAUAUAUAUAAAACCACUUUAGAACUUACUGCGCUUUCCUUCUUCCCCUUGACCUUUACUGUUUCAGUAGAUCCCUUUUCAUUCUAUUGUAUGGUGUUUUUUUUUAAGGAAGCUUAGGUAGUGGGUAGAGGGUAGGAAAUAAUGGUUGUUCUGGAAUGGUGUGGACACAGGUCCUGUCCUAUUCAUUGCAAAUCAGAAGUGUUUUCCCUGCACUGUCAAUCUCUGCCUGCAUGACUAAGUCUUAUUUGUUCUACUCAGAUCCCUCUAGUUCCUGUGCAGCUGUACCUGUAAGAGCUGACAUUUGCUGAUGUGCCACUUCGAAUUCAAAUAUUAAAAGAUUAAUAAUGAGAUAAUUCAAUUAUCACAUUUAUUUAUUUGUUUAUGCUCUUCUUUCAUUCACUUCAAUCUUU
This is a long non-coding RNA of Coturnix japonica (Japanese quail), 1445 nucleotides long. RefSeq lists it as uncharacterized. Lineage: Eukaryota; Metazoa; Chordata; Aves; Galliformes; Phasianidae. The record is from RefSeq and is a predicted model, not a curated record.